CCAAAUGAUUCCAUUCUCUCUGUGAC
RNAcentral lists this unclassified non-coding RNA (26 nucleotides) under Mus musculus (house mouse). Its description in RNAcentral is "oocyte_clustered_small_RNA3756". Lineage: Eukaryota; Metazoa; Chordata; Mammalia; Rodentia; Muridae. The record is from RNAcentral.